Molecule: small RNA, 373 nt
Filed under: Histoplasma capsulatum var. duboisii H88
Lineage: Eukaryota; Fungi; Ascomycota; Eurotiomycetes; Onygenales; Ajellomycetaceae
Description: Histoplasma capsulatum H88 hypothetical RNA
Source: RNAcentral
UCACUGGUAUCGGUUGUCGUUUCAAACUGCAAGUCAUAAACCUCUGCCUAUCAAGCAGAUUUACACGGGGCAGAAGCACACAACUGAGAUCAAAGCAAAGGCAAUUCAACCACAUGGUGAUGCAAGGCCUUGUUUGCCCACUAUAAAAGAAGAACAAAAGAAAGAUGUCGAAAACAUUCUGGAGGGACAUAAAGAAAUCCCCAGACGAAAAACCCAAAUUUACCUAUGGACGAAGGAGAUGUGGUUUUCGUAAGCAAUGGCAGAAAUAAAAGCAAAAUUGACAUGUUAGAGUUGACAAAAUUAAAGUUUAAGAUAUUGUAGAAUGGGCCUAGAAAAAAGUGAAUACUAUAACCAGUUUUCAUGUGCCAAAACU